RNAcentral lists this ribosomal RNA (253 nucleotides) under uncultured bacterium. Its description in RNAcentral is "partial 16S ribosomal RNA". It matches the Rfam family "Bacterial small subunit ribosomal RNA", at positions 524 to 776 of the family's 1533-position model. The record is from RNAcentral.
UACGUAGGGGGCGAGCGUUGUCCGGAAUUAUUGGGCGUAAAGAGCGUGUAGGCGGUUCGGUAAGUCUGCCGUGAAAACCUGGGGCUCAACCCCGGGCGUGCGGUGGAUACUGCCGGGCUAGAGUGCGGAAGAGGCGAGUGGAAUUCCUGGUGUAGCGGUGAAAUGCGCAGAUAUCAGGAGGAACACCAAUUGCGAAGGCAGCUCGCUGGGACGUUACUGACGCUGAGACGCGAAAGCGUGGGGAGCAAACAGG